GGGGCUAUAGCUCAGAUGGGAGAGCGAUUGGUUCGCAAUCAAUAGGUCAGGGGUUCGAUCCCCCUUAGCUCCACCA
Molecule: transfer RNA, 76 nt
Filed under: Candidatus Cloacimonetes bacterium HGW-Cloacimonetes-1
Lineage: Bacteria; Pseudomonadati; Candidatus Cloacimonadota
Also listed under: 2 other names
Description: tRNA-Ala
Rfam family: tRNA
About the family: Transfer RNA (tRNA) molecules are approximately 80 nucleotides in length. Their secondary structure includes four short double-helical elements and three loops (D, anti-codon, and T loops).
Source: RNAcentral